GGAUGAUGAUGAUGAUGAUGAUGAUGAUGAUGAUGAUUGAUAUUGCGAUAAUUUGCGAAAUCCAUCAUCAUCAUCAGCCGCAUCAGCAAGCAGU
Molecule: microRNA precursor, 94 nt
Filed under: Bigelowiella natans CCMP2755
Lineage: Eukaryota; Cercozoa; Chlorarachniophyceae
Description: miRNA EPrBNAG00000013546
Source: RNAcentral